Cervus elaphus (red deer) is the source of this 171-nucleotide long non-coding RNA. RefSeq lists it as uncharacterized. The transcript is spliced from 3 exons. The record is from RefSeq and is a predicted model, not a curated record. NCBI's taxonomy places the organism in Eukaryota, Metazoa, Chordata, Mammalia, Artiodactyla, Cervidae.
UCAUAUUCUGUGUGUGUGUGAGUGUAAGCUUCAGGUGUGUCUGAUUGUUUGUGAUCCUAAGGGCUGUAGCCCACCAGGCUCCUCUGUCCAUGGGAUUUUCCAGGCGAGAAUACUGGAGUGGGUCGCCAUGCCCUUCUCCAGGGGAUCUUCUUGACCCAGGGAUCAAAAUUG